RNAcentral lists this ribosomal RNA (253 nucleotides) under uncultured bacterium. RNAcentral's name for it is "partial 16S ribosomal RNA". It matches the Rfam family "Bacterial small subunit ribosomal RNA", at positions 524 to 776 of the family's 1533-position model. The record is from RNAcentral.
UACGGGGGGUGCAAGCGUUGCUCGGAAUUAUUGGGCGUAAAGGGUAGGUAGGUGGUCCCGUUUGUCUGGGGUGAAAGCCUUGGGCUUAACCUGAGAAGUGCCUCAGAGACGGCGGGACUAGAGUCCUGGAGAGGGUCGUGGAAUUCCCGGUGUAGCAGUGAAAUGCGUAGAUAUCAAGUGGAACACCAGUGGCGAAGGCGAGUCUCUGGACAUUUCCUGACGCUGAGGCACGAAAGCCAGGGGAGCAAACGGG